UAGGGAAUCUUCCGCAAUGGGCGAAAGCCUGACGGAGCAACGCCGCGUGAGUGAUGAAGGUCUUCGGAUCGUAAAACUCUGUUAUUAGGGAAGAACAAAUGUGUAAGUAACUAUGCACGUCUUGACGGUACCUAAUCAGAAAGCCACGGCUAACUACGUGCCAGCAGCCGCGGUAAUACGUAGGUGGCAAGCGUUAUCCGGAAUUAUUGGGCGUAAAGCGCGCGUAGGCGGUUUUUUAAGUCUGAUGUGAAAGCCCACGGCUCAACCGUGGAAGGUCAUUGGAAACUGGAAAACUUGAGUGCAGAAGAGGAGAGUGGAAUUCCAUGUGUAGCGGUGAAAUGCGCAGAGAUAUGGAGGAACACCAGUGGCGAAGGCGGCUUUCUGGUCUGUAACUGACGCUGAUGUGCGAAAGCGUGGGGAUCAAACAGG
RNAcentral lists this ribosomal RNA (429 nucleotides) under Actinomycetes bacterium. RNAcentral's name for it is "Actinobacteria bacterium partial 16S ribosomal RNA". It matches the Rfam family "Bacterial small subunit ribosomal RNA", at positions 355 to 776 of the family's 1533-position model. The record is from RNAcentral. Lineage: Bacteria; Bacillati; Actinomycetota; Actinomycetes.